RNAcentral lists this unclassified non-coding RNA (345 nucleotides) under soil metagenome. Its description in RNAcentral is "partial contains 5.8S ribosomal RNA, internal transcribed spacer 2, and large subunit ribosomal RNA". The stretch from base 1 to 119 matches the Rfam family "5.8S ribosomal RNA", at positions 35 to 154 of the family's 154-position model. The record is from RNAcentral.
GAUGAAGAACGUAGUGAAAUGCGAUACGUAAUGUGAAUUGCAAAUUCAUUGAAUCAUCGAGUCUUUGAACGCACAUUGCGCCCCCUGGUAUUCCGGGGGGCAUGCCUGUCCGAGCGUCAUUGCUGCCCUCAAGCACGGCUUGUGUGUUGGGCCCCGUCCUCCGAUCCCGGGGGACGGGCCCGAAAGGCAGCGGCGGCACCGCGUCCGGUCCUCGAGCGUAUGGGGCUUUGUCACCCGCUCUGUAGGCCCGGCCGGCGCUUGCCGAUCAACCCAAAUUUUUAUCCAGGUUGACCUCGGAUCAGGUAGGGAUACCCGCUGAACUUAAGCAUAUCAAUAAGCGGAGGA